Molecule: long non-coding RNA, 344 nt
Organism: Magnolia sinica
Lineage: Eukaryota; Viridiplantae; Streptophyta; Magnoliopsida; Magnoliales; Magnoliaceae
Exons: 2
Source: RefSeq, a predicted model, not a curated record
CCAACCUGAUUUGAAAUCAAGCUAGAGUUUUCCAACCUAAAUUGACUUGAGGAUCCGAGAAACUAAUCCAACCCGACCUAACCCAAACAUGGUCAAUUGGGUUCAGUUUGUUGAACCCAAGUUACAGCUCUACGUUUGCAACUUAUAUCCUCGUCCAAGAUAAGUUUGUCCAAAAAAAUUUCUCUACAUCGCAUCCCUCAUUGUGACCAUUCUCUAGCAAAUGCAACCCAACAAUUCAUAGACAACAUUUCAACUAAGAGCUCGUUCAAAAUUUAGAAACAAAUCGAUGCAGUAACACUCAACAGAUUUACAUGGUUCGUCAUUAUCCCUUCUCCAUAGAUUAG